Molecule: non-coding RNA, 45 nt
Filed under: Schistosoma margrebowiei
Lineage: Eukaryota; Metazoa; Platyhelminthes; Trematoda; Strigeidida; Schistosomatidae
Source: RNAcentral
AUUCAAUCGAUGUGUCCUAAACAGAACGAAACGUACGUCCUGGAU